This is a non-coding RNA of Dipodomys ordii (Ord's kangaroo rat), 71 nucleotides long. Lineage: Eukaryota; Metazoa; Chordata; Mammalia; Rodentia; Heteromyidae. The record is from Rfam.
GAAGGUGGCUCAGUGGUAGAGUGCUAGCCUUGCAUGCAUGAGGCCCUGGGUUCAAUUCCUCAGCACCAUCU